This 497-nucleotide ribosomal RNA is filed under the name uncultured bacterium. Its description in RNAcentral is "partial 16S ribosomal RNA". It matches the Rfam family "Bacterial small subunit ribosomal RNA", at positions 28 to 507 of the family's 1533-position model. The record is from RNAcentral.
GAUGAACGCUGGCGGCGUGCCUAAUACAUGCAAGUCGAGCGAACGGACGAGAAGCUUGCUUCUCUGACGUUAGCGGCGGACGUGUGUGUAACGCGUGGAUAAUCUACUUAUCAGACUGGUAUCACCUCGGGACACCGGCGCUUACCCCGUAUAAUAUUCUGAACCGCAUGGUUCAAAGGUGAAUGUCGGUCGUGCUGUCACUUCUCGCUGGUUCCGCGCUGCAUUAGCUAGUUGGUAAGGUAACGGCGUACCAAGGCAACGAUGCAUAACCGAGCGGAGAGGAUGGUCGGCCACACUGGGACUGAGACACGGUCCAGACUCCUACGGGAGGCGGCAGUAGGGAAUCUUCCGCAAUGGGCGAAAGACUGACGGAACAACGCCGCGUGAGUAAUGAAGGUCGUCGGAUCGUAAAACUCUGUUAUUAGGGAAGAACAUAUGUGUAAGUAACUGUGCACAUCUUGACGGUACCUAAUCAGAGAGCCACGGCUAACUACGUG